CCUACGGGUGGCAGCAGUAGGGAAUAUUGCUCAAUGGGGGAAACCCUGAAGCAGCCAAGCCGCGUGGAGGAUGAAGGUUUUAGGAUUGUAAACUCCUUUUGUGAGAGAAGAUAAUGACGGUAUCUCACGAAUAAGCACCGGCCAACUCCCUGCCAGCAGCCGCGGUAAUACGGAGGGUGCAAGCGGUACGCGGAAUCACUGGGCGUAAAGUGUGCGCAGGCGGGUUUGUAAGUCAGAUGUGAAAUCCUGUAGCUUAACUACAGAACUGCAUUUGAAACUAUGAGUCUAGAGUGUUGGAGAGGUAGGUGGAAUUCGUGGUGUAGGGGUAAAAUGCGGAGAUAUCAAGAGGAA
RNAcentral lists this ribosomal RNA (351 nucleotides) under uncultured bacterium. RNAcentral describes it as "partial 16S ribosomal RNA". It matches the Rfam family "Bacterial small subunit ribosomal RNA", at positions 338 to 706 of the family's 1533-position model. The record is from RNAcentral.